GCCUUUGUGGUGUAGCGGUCAGCACGCUGGGCGCAUAUUCCAGAGGUCCACGGUUCGAGUCCCGGCGAAAGCG
RNAcentral lists this transfer RNA (73 nucleotides) under Stegodyphus mimosarum. It matches the Rfam family "tRNA". From Rfam's summary of the family: Transfer RNA (tRNA) molecules are approximately 80 nucleotides in length. The record is from Rfam by way of RNAcentral. Lineage: Eukaryota; Metazoa; Arthropoda; Arachnida; Araneae; Eresidae.